GGGGAUCUAGCUCAGUGGUAGAGCGCUUGCCUAGCAAGCUCAAGGCCCUGGGUUCAAUACCCAGCUCCG
Non-coding RNA from Rattus norvegicus (Norway rat), 69 nucleotides. NCBI's taxonomy places the organism in Eukaryota, Metazoa, Chordata, Mammalia, Rodentia, Muridae. The record is from Rfam.